GGGGGUGUUCUGGUUUUGACAUCAGAUCAGUUGGUCGGGGUGCGUGCCGAGCGUUGGGAGCCGCGCUCGUUAAUCUAUGACUUUCAGCCAUUAAUUGGCAACAACAAUUAUGCACUCGCUGCGUAAUCAGCUAAGCUGACGGCGCUUAAUCCUUGAGGCACAAGGUGCUUCGGACGAGUAUCCCGCCAGGUUUUCCGUCUUCUUGGAUCUGGCAUACGGGGUAUCAUUUAAAGAAGAAUGCGGAGGACGACUCCUUUAAAUCCUCCUAAGUUUUAAAGGAUAAGCUUUGGGCUUGCCCGCUCCGGGGCGGGGCCAUGGACGAAAAUCAAACCGGAGAUACGCACGUAGAAAUCCGAUUGGCGGCCUGAUUGGACAGCGGUUCGACUCCGCUCACCUCCACUA
This 402-nucleotide transfer-messenger RNA is filed under the name Bacteroidales bacterium. It matches the Rfam family "transfer-messenger RNA". Rfam says of the family: Bacterial tmRNA, also known as 10Sa RNA or SsrA, is named for its dual tRNA and mRNA-like properties. Its role is to liberate the mRNA from a stalled ribosome. To accomplish this part of the tmRNA is used as a reading frame that ends in a translation stop signal. The record is from RNAcentral. Lineage: Bacteria; Pseudomonadati; Bacteroidota; Bacteroidia; Bacteroidales.